Molecule: ribosomal RNA, 514 nt
Filed under: uncultured bacterium
Lineage: Bacteria
Description: partial 16S ribosomal RNA
Rfam family: Bacterial small subunit ribosomal RNA
Source: RNAcentral
GAUGAACGCUGGCGGCGUGCCUAAUACAUGCAAGUCGAGCGAAUGGAUUAAGAGCUUGCUCUUAUGAAGUUAGCGGCGGACGGGUGAGUAACACGUGUGUAACCUGCCCAUAAGACUGGGAUAACUCCGGGAAACCGGGGCUAAUACCGGAUAACAUUUUGAACCGCAUGGUUCGAAAUUGAAAGGCGGCUUCGGCUGUCACUUAUGGAUGGACCCGCGUCGCAUUAGCUAGUUGGUGAGGUAACGGCUCACCAAGGCAACGAUGCGUAGCCGACCUGAGAGGGUGAUCGGCCACACUGGGACUGAGACACGGCCCAGACUCCUACGGGAGGCGGCAGUAGGGAAUCUUCCGCAAUGGACGAAAGUCUAACGGAGCAACGCCGCGUGAGUGAUGAAGGCUUUCGGGUCGUAAAACUCUGUUGUUAGGGAAGAACAAGUGCUAGUUGAAUAAGCUGCACCUUGACGGUACCUAACCAGAAAGCCACGGCUAACUACGUGCCAGCCGCCGCGGUAA